GGUAAAAUGAGAAUUUCACAAAGUCUUCAAGAAGACUCAUGUGGGCCCCACAUGCCACAUGGCAGCCCAUGAUUGGAGAAAAGGGGUGUGUUGGACCAAUGAAACCUUGACAUGUGUCACCACUUAGAUCUUGACAUUUGUCGCCACUUAGGGCUUGACACGUGUCACCACUUAGGGGAUGACAUGUGUCACCCCUAAAGUAGUAUAUAUAUAUAUAUAUAUAUGAGUCUUAUGACUCAUUAAUUUCCACACCUAUCUAGAAAAUUCAAGACUAACAAAACGAAAUUACAUGAGAAAGAAAGAAGAGAAGAGAAAAGAAAUUAAGGUAGAAAGAAGGAAAGAGCUACGAUUUUGGGAGGAGAAAAAGCCCAAAACGUUACCAAACAGUUCCUAAGUUUCAGCUGCGCUAAAGGAAAUUCCGAGGCAAGUUUUGGCGAAUUUCGGGAAAGGUUCAAGAGACGACGAGGCGAGCAUAGUUAAGAGUAAUCCGUAAGAGGUACAGACGAUUGGUUUGCUGAUCCGCUCGCUUAAGACAUCCACCAUGUUGGUCGACAGUGCUCCUUUGUCCGGAGCCCUAUUUUGGUACUGACACUUUCUGUUGUAUAUAUAUAUACGUUGUUCAGGGGUACGGCGGGGCCCUGUCCCGUCAUAUGACUAGGAUAUCAUUCCGUAGAGGUCUGUAGACAUGAGAUGUGGGUUUUGUAUAUAUGUUUUGGGGUUUUUUGUGUUUCGUGAUGGCCUAUAGGCUCUCGUGCAUUAUAUCUGUUUAGAGAUCCCUUCUAAUGAUUACCUAUGUUUAUUCGAUUAAUGUACUAAGUGGGGCUAAGGGUACGUAUGGGUGCCCAACUCGGGCACCAGCCAUGGCCUACGGAGUUGGGUCGUGACAUUAACAAGUA
Molecule: long non-coding RNA, 896 nt
Organism: Solanum dulcamara
Lineage: Eukaryota; Viridiplantae; Streptophyta; Magnoliopsida; Solanales; Solanaceae
Exons: 4
Source: RefSeq, a predicted model, not a curated record